AUGCGUCGUCGCCCCUGCGCUUCGGUUGUCCUUCCACGAGAGUUGGCGCGGCUCCUCGCUGGCCGGCGCGGCCCGCGGAGCCCCCGCGCGUUGAUCCGUUUCCCGCGUCGGCGCCCCUGUGCGCUGGCCGGGCUGGGUGCUCCUCGCCUAGUACCCCGCUGCACUCGCCAGCCGCCGGGUCCGCGUUGCUCCUCAUCUCCGCCACGCCCCGCGCUCAGCCGCCCCCACACUCGGCUGUGCUCCUCCGGCUCCGUGCCCGCGCCUCGGCCUCCGGCCUUGCCUGCGCGGCCGGCUUCUCCGUCCCCGCGCCGGCGCGCCACUCCCGUUCCGCCUUGCGUGCGCUCGCAGUUGGGCUCGCCCGCGUCCACGUGCCUGGCCCGGCUGGCCGCUGCCGCGCUCUGCCUCCUCCCCGCGGGCUGGCUGCCGGCUGCGCCUCAUCGCCUCCCCACACCGGCUCCGCGCCCGGCUACGCCACUCCCCUCCGCCUGCGUGCGCCCCUGUGGCCGCCUGCUCCGCCCCCGGGUCGCCCCGUGGCCGCCUGCUCCGCAUCCGGGUCACCGUGCCGGCCUGCCGGCUUCCCCGCCUCCCGGCCUGACGGCUCCGCCUUCCCGGGCCGCCUGCCCCGCGGCUGGGGACGGGCGCCCCUGCCGCCUCCGGCCAUCCGGCUCCCGCGGCCGCCUAGCUCAGCCGGCUGCCGCCCCUCCCCGGGCCAGGCUCGGCCUCCAACAGCACCGCGACGCCGGCCCCGUCGCCCUCUGCCUGCUCCGUCCACGCCACGACACCGAGCGCGCCUCCCCUCCCACUUGCUCCUCCGCCUGGGCCGCGUGCCCGCGAUGGCCCGGUCGUCUGCGUCGCAUCCCGUGGGUAGGCCGGCCUCCUCCAGCCACUCCUCCUCGCCCGAGCUGCUGCUGUCCGGCUCCCUCCGCCUCCCGCGCGACCCGGCCGGCCGGCUCCCGCGCUCACCGGUUUCCCUGGAACCCGGCCCCGUGCCGGCUCGGCCUCGCCGCCUCCAGCCGGCGACCGGGCGUUUGGCCGGCUCCGCCCGCCAACCCGGCGACCCGGCGCUUGGCCGGCUCCGCCUCGCAUCUCGGCCACCUCUCCGUCCCGCGCCACUGCUGGUCCUCUGACGGGCUCGUGCGCGCCGGCCGCUGCCGGGUCCGGCUCCGCCCGUCCUCGCAACCGCGCGGCCGCGUCUCCCGCGACCAGCUCCGCCUUCGCCCUCGCCGGCCCCGCCCCGUGUCGGGCCUCCUCCAGCCGGCCGCGGCUCCGGGCAGCCUCUCGCCCCGCGCGCCUCGCACGCCCGUCCGGCUCUGGGUGGCCGGCUCGCCGCCCCGCCUCCGCCAGCACCCGGCGCGCGUCGUCCGGCCCACGCUGCUCGCUGCUGCCGCCUUCUGCGAGCGGAAAAAGAAAGAAGAAAAAAAAUAUGUGUGUGUAUCCGGCUGCCCAGAGUCGGGUGAAGAAAGGGCCGGGUGCCCACGGCCGGCUUGCUACAAAAAGAAAAAAAAAAUUGUGUGUAUCCGGCUGCCCAGAGUUGGGUGA
Molecule: ribosomal RNA, 1539 nt
Filed under: Triticum aestivum (bread wheat)
Lineage: Eukaryota; Viridiplantae; Streptophyta; Magnoliopsida; Poales; Poaceae
Description: partial small subunit ribosomal RNA
Source: RNAcentral